AUCUGGCCUCAAAUCAGGUAGGGCUACCCGCUGAACUUAAG
Molecule: ribosomal RNA, 41 nt
Filed under: Vishniacozyma victoriae
Lineage: Eukaryota; Fungi; Basidiomycota; Tremellomycetes; Tremellales; Bulleribasidiaceae
Description: partial 26S ribosomal RNA
Source: RNAcentral